CAGCAGCCGCGGUAAUACGUAGGGGGCAAGCGUUAUCCGGAUUUACUGGGUGUAAAGGGUGCGUAGGUGGCAGUGCAAGUCAGAUGUGAAAGGCCGGGGCUCAACCCCGGAGCUGCAUUUGAAACUGCAUAGCUGGAGUACAGGAGAGGCAGGCGGAAUUCCUAGUGUAGCGGUGAAAUGCGUAGAUAUUAGGAGGAACACCAGUGGCGAAGGCGGCCUGCUGGACUGUUACUGACACUGAGGCACGAAAGCGUGGGGAGCAAACAGGAUUAGAUACCCUGGUAGUCCACGCCGUAAACGAUGGAUACUAGGUGUCGGGGCCGUAUAGGCUCCGGUGCCGCCGCUAACGCAGUNAGUAUUCCACCUGGGGAGU
Molecule: ribosomal RNA, 373 nt
Filed under: uncultured bacterium
Lineage: Bacteria
Description: bacterial SSU rRNA
Rfam family: Bacterial small subunit ribosomal RNA
Source: RNAcentral